Canis lupus familiaris (dog) is the source of this 2092-nucleotide long non-coding RNA. RefSeq lists it as uncharacterized. Lineage: Eukaryota; Metazoa; Chordata; Mammalia; Carnivora; Canidae. The transcript has 8 exons. The record is from RefSeq and is a predicted model, not a curated record.
CUCUGAAGACAUUAUUCUAUUGUCUUCUGGCUCCAAUUUUAUUAUUAAUGAUUCUCAUAGCUUUUUUCUCUAGUUGCUUUAAAGAUUUCCUCAUUGCCUGUUGUGGCCAAUGUAGCAAGAUGUCAAUUAGAACUUUUUUCUUGCUUUGGGAGUCACUUUGUGUCAAUGCUUUUUGUCAGCUUGAAUGUUUUGAUAAACUGUCAAUACCUACCCCACCACCACCACUUCCUGAGCUACAUUGUGGGUUAUUUUCUCAGGUCUAUAUCCUUUAAUAACUAUACCUCUUACCUGAGGAAGUUCUACUUGGUUAUUUUUAAAGGGUACCUGGUCAUUUCUUUUUUGUCUUUUUGAUUCCUUCUUGUAAGAUAUCUAAAACACUUAAUUUCUUAGGGAUUUAACUUCUUGCUGUUUUGUCUGCUAAUUCACUCCUGGUGGGUUGUUUGCUUAAAUGUUUUCUAAUUUUGAGUUGUGAGCUUACCUUCAGCAGGGUUUUACUGAUGGCAAUCCUGCGGCCUCCGUGGUUAUUUUGUAUUUAUUUCUGCCAGGUGUCUAAAAAAUUUUUUUGAGGCCAGGACCAUUUUGUUAAUUCUAAACAAAAAUUGUUUCCUGGAUUGGGCAUGGCAUGUAAAUUACAUACAUCCCAAACUCUAAUAAAAACAGGUCUCUAGAUUAAAGUUUUAGGGGAAACAACAGAGGCUUAUACUGAGACUGAGCCCAGAAAGAUAAGCUUCUUCAUUAUUAACCUGUAUUAGUAGAAGAUGCGUCUAAUCUACCAUUUCACAGCAAUUAUAUCUCCCUUUGAGGGUUCCAGUUUUAUAUGAGGGAUCUCACAAAGGUCAUGUGAGCCCCAAGCCUUUUCCAUCUCACUGUGGAUAUUAACACCAAGCUCCUGGCAGGUCUGUUGGUACCUGCUGUUCUGUCAUCCUACCAGAAAAUGAGAUUAUUCCUCUGCAGAAGAAGAUAAAGCAGGGCUACUAGACUAGGAGACACCAGGCACAGCUGAGGGUGACAGUACCAACCCGCAAACAAGGAGACCAGUGAAUGGCAUUUCUGGCUUCUUCCCCCACCCAACUUCUUUCAAGGCUCUCGGCUUCAACCCAGGAUACAGAGAAAGAAACAGCUUGGACAAAAACACGGAGGAGCACUGAUCUAUGGAGGGUCAGCACAAGGAGGGGAAAUAGAGGUAUACCAGGUCUAGAGCUAUGUUCUUCAGACUAUGUUCUGACACUUCUGGACAAAAAGAAAAACAUGCCUCUUCUUGGGAGAGAAGACUGUUCUGAGAAGUAUUCAUUAUUCCAAAAUGGACAACUCUGAAACAAGAGUACAUUGACAUCAAUUAAAGUGGAGAUGAAGAACAGCAAGAGAGGACAAAGUAUAAAAAUUAAAGAAAAUACUCUCUAUGUGAAGCACCUGCUAUAUAUAUCAGGCACUGUUGACUGGAGGAGCAUCUUAAUCAAUCUAUGAUCAAAUUACAAAUGAAAGGCCAUCUGAGAACAAAGCAAGAAUGUGACCCUUGACAAGCCAGGGAGAGAGCCUUCAUCGGAACCUGACCAUACUGAAUGUACACUGAAGUCAACGUUCCCCAUGACACAUUCCCAUGGAGACCCAAUAUCCAGGAUUAGCAAGAAUACAGUGUAUUAAAUGUCUUUUUUUGAGUUGCCUACUUUCUUCAAAGAUGCUCCUGAUUUGUUUUUGCUAUAGAUAUUUGAUUUCCUAAAUAAUUCAAAUCCAUUCUCCUCUCUCAUGUUUUUACUCUAUCAGUCCCUCUCCCAUCCCCACAGUUUUUAAUUAUUUGAAGUAGGCAUGUUCUCCUAGUUAUAAGGGCUCCUAACAUUGGGUACUUUAAUUUUGAAGUGCUCAUCAUUCUUGUAAUUAUUCAUAUGUCCUUGGAUUGUGAAUUCCAUGAAGUUGGGCACAAUUUCUGAUUUGUUCACUGCUACAUGCCCCUGUGUUAUAGCAGAGCCUGGAUCAUGAAGGAGUGAUGUAGUUUUAUAAUGCAAGUCACAAGAACUUACCUCUUAGCAGCCCCAGGAUCUAGAGUCAUGUCAACAGUAGGCAUUAAAUAAAUGAUGGUUGAUACCUUUGCACAUAC